GUUCACCUUCUCGGUCGCCGGCGCACCCCGCCGCCUCUUCGGCUCGCCGGAGGCGCGUGGGGUUCCCGAGGAAGACGUGCCACCUGAGCUGCUCAAACGUCCGCCCCCCAGGCUGCAGUGCCACACUACCAUGGCGCUGGCCGAUCGCCGGAGCCACCUCCGCCCUUCUCUUCUGUGCCGCUCGCGACACCUCUCUCUCCUAACCAUGCCGAGGUUUCCGCCUCCCAGACCGGAGCUUCCACCUCCCUCUCCUCAAGCUAGCUAUGUGAGGGCUUCCUGCUCAGGUUUGCAGCUCUCGGGAGUUGAGAUCAGACUCCUACACUUCGAAUUGACAGAGAUUCGUCUGGCUCAUGAAUUGGUCAUAUUGACGACUCACAGAGCACAACAAAUGCACGGGCAUGCAAAAGCACAUCAACAGAAUGAGGAAAAUGGAAUAGAGGAACAUGCUGGGAAAACCAUGCUACCACAUAAAUCGAAGGAGGAGCAUACUAUCGACACGUUGAUUAGGAUAGAAAAUAUAAAGACACCAGACUUGGUGAUUGUAAUGUGUAAAAGAGAAUGUAUGACAGUAGUAGAUAAAAAUAAGACUCUGUAUGUAACAGAUAGAUUUUCUUCUUUCUUUUUACUUUGAUUUGAACAAAGGAAGAUUUGGAUUGAGCAGUACCUGCAAUUACUUUGACAUGUGAACCUGCAAAUACCAAACAAGAGAAUUUAGAUUUGAUUGAUAUUUUGAUUAAGUGAACGUAUCCUGUGCACACAAGCUUUCCGUGUGCACACCGCAGGAAAAGUAGUUUUUUUUAGAAAGAAAAGGUAAACCCCAACAUUUAUGGUUAUUUACAAGUGAUUGCUAUAGUGCAAUUAGUGGAACCAGACCCCCAGGCGGGAUGCGCUUAAGAGCAGGUACAAUAGCAGGCUAUAAGCCGGCUGUAACCA
Long non-coding RNA from Oryza sativa Japonica Group (Japanese rice), 933 nucleotides. RefSeq lists it as uncharacterized. The record is from RefSeq and is a predicted model, not a curated record. Lineage: Eukaryota; Viridiplantae; Streptophyta; Magnoliopsida; Poales; Poaceae.